RNAcentral lists this transfer RNA (77 nucleotides) under Caudoviricetes sp. Its description in RNAcentral is "tRNA-His". It matches the Rfam family "tRNA". From Rfam's summary of the family: Transfer RNA (tRNA) molecules are approximately 80 nucleotides in length. Their secondary structure includes four short double-helical elements and three loops (D, anti-codon, and T loops). The record is from RNAcentral. Lineage: Duplodnaviria; Heunggongvirae; Uroviricota; Caudoviricetes.
GUGGCUGUAGCUCAGUUGGUUAGAGCGCUUGAUUGUGGCUCAAGUUGUCGUGGAUUCGAAUUCCACCAGUCACCCCA